Anthonomus grandis grandis is the source of this 850-nucleotide long non-coding RNA. RefSeq lists it as uncharacterized. The record is from RefSeq and is a predicted model, not a curated record. NCBI's taxonomy places the organism in Eukaryota, Metazoa, Arthropoda, Insecta, Coleoptera, Curculionidae. The transcript has 3 exons.
CAGUAAAUUACCUUGAUCACAAUUAUGGUAAUAACUUAGAAAAAUAACAUUAAAACCAACAGUCAUGACCUAUUUGAACGAACUGAAACGGCACGAGCAGAUACAGAUCGCACAAUAAUACGUCUCUUUUAAUUACAACGCCAGUGUAAUUCUAUACAUACGAAACGAAAAUGUGGGACGAUUAAAGUUAUUGUAUGCCCACAACCGCAACUUAUUAUAACAAAUUUAUAUCUGAUACUACCGAUAGCCCCGUCUGAUAUGCCUUAUUUGUAUACAAUGAGAAACUGGGAACAGAAAGACGAGUACGCGACCGGAAUACGGAUGAACGCGUUUUAUUUUCGAUCAUCUCGCGGGAGUUUUUGAUGAUGAUGAUGCAUCAUGUGACUCAUUUUGUUCGGUUUUAAGUGGAGGAUGAAAGAAAUACCUACAUACCAACAAUGACCACAUGCCCGAACGAGGACGGGUUCUCUAUUCCGCUGCAAUUCCAUCUUUGGUGUCUGAACUGGUACUUGCACUCGUCAGUUGCCAUCCUUAUUCCAUCUCCUACAGCUACCAUGGCAUCUACAAAAAUGAGAGAAAUAUUAAUUUAUAAACAGAUUCUUACCCGGUGAUUGUCUGCACAUCUCUCUCUGCCUUGGCGUCAAACCUGGUAUCCUAGAGCAGAACACUUCUGCCCCCAAGUUGAAAACGCCGUAUACUAUCCUGAAAUAAACAAUUAAAAAUAAUAUAAGCAACAAUUAUUUUAUAUUAAAUUUAGCAAUUUAUUCGUAACGUAAACGAUAAAACAUUUAUGAUAAUCAGUUGCGUUUCUAUUACUGAUGAUGUGAUUUUUCACUUAUAAAUAAUUGAA